GCCGGGUCCGGCCCGCUUCCGGCGCGGUCUCCGGAACUAGUUUGACUCUCCGGCGGCCGCCGUAGUGCGUUUCCUCCGUUGCCGUGGGAAACGACCCCAGACCUGGAAGGGAGAGUGCAACGACGUUUCCCGCCGGCGGGAGUUGCGAUUGUGGUGGCGUGAGGGCCUCCGCAGGCGGCGGGGCGCAGAGCUUCUGCGCUAUGGCGGACCAGCUUUAUCUGGAAAAUAUAGACGAAUUCGUCAUGGACCAAAACAAGAUUGUGACAUACAAAUGGCUGAGCUAUACACUAGGAGUUCAUGUUAACCAGGCCAAACAGAUGUUGUACGAUUAUGUUGAAAGGAAGCGAAAGGAAAAUUCAGGAGCCCAACUGCACGUCACCUAUUUGGUGUCCGGCAGUCUCAUUCAGAAUGGAUAUUCCUGCCACAAGGUUGCGGUAGUGAGAGAAGAUAAGUUGGAAGCUGUGAAGUCCAAGCUAGCUGUGACUGCCAGCAUCCAUGUCUACAGCAUCCAGAAAGCCAUGCUAAAGGACAGUGGGCCUCUGUUCAAUACUGACUAUGACAUCCUUAAAAGCAACUUGCAGAACUGCAGCAAAUUUAGUGCCAUACAAUGUGCAGCUGCAGUCCCUAGAGCUCCCACUGAGUUCUCAUCUUUGGAAAAGCUUGAGCAGCCAAAUCUUCAGGCAUCAAAUGAGACAGAAGCCAAUAACGGGUUGACCACCAAUGGUCAUGGCCCACCUGCCUCCAAGCAGGUCUCCCAGCAGCCCAAAGGAAUUAUGGGAAUGUUUGCCACCAAAGCUGCUUUUAAAACUCAAGACUCUAACAAGGAAAGCAAAACAGAGGCUAAAGAGGCAUCUUCGGCAGGCAGCAAGGCCCCAGGGAAAGGGAAUGUGAUGAGCAAUUUUUUUGGAAAGGCUGUUGUGAAUAAACUUAAGGUCAAUUUGGAUUCAGAACAAGCAGUGAAAGAAGAGAAAAUAGUGGAGCAACCUCCAGUGCCUGUCACUGAACCAAAGCUGGCAGCACCUGAAGGCCUGAAGAAAUCUAGCAAAAAAGCAGAGCCUGUUAAGAUGCAGCAGCAGGAAAAAAAAAGGGGGAAGCGAGUGGAGUUACCUGAUGAUGAGACAAAAGAAACUGAAACCGUAAAGAAAAAGAGGAGACGAAUCAAGCUUCCUGAGUCUGAUAGCAGUGAAGAUGAAGACAUACCAGACUCUCCUAGGACUUAUGAAGCUGAGUCACCAUCCCCACCUUCUCCAGCUUCUCUGCUUCCUGAACCAGUGCCAGAGACUGAGCCAGAGCCUCCUUCCACCAAGGGCUCGAGUGGAGAAAACAAGAGAAAACGAAAGCGCGUACUGAAAUCUAAAACCUAUGUGGAUGAGGAAGGCUGCAUAGUGACUGAGAAGGUCUACGAGAGUGAGUCCUGCACAGAUAGUGAAGAGGAAUUUAAGAUGAAGACAUCCUCUGUGCACAGACCUCCUGCCUUGACUGUGAAGAAAGAACCCAAAGAGGAACGAAAGGGCCCCAAGAAAGGGACUGUUGCUCUGGGCAAAGCCAACAGACAAGCAUCCAUUACCGGCUUCUUCCAGAGGAAAUAAACUGUCAUCUCUGUUAGGUCAGAGACUUGGAAUGGUCAAGGGAGAAGACCAAGAGAUAGAGACUUUCUCACUUACUGUGCAACACAUCGGAAUUUCAAAACUGAUGUUAUAACCAAGUGAAACAGGAGUGCUAAUGGAACCAGUGUCUCAGUGGGUAUCCUUGUGAUUCUGCUCACCUCUCAAAUCCAUGACUCCACUUUGAUUCACCAGCACCACUACCUUUCAGAACUUGAGCUAGCAGCUUACGUGCCGAUCUUGGAAUUCAUCAAUCUUCACAGCCUGUGAGCAAGAGUCCUGUUCUCCAACCUACUGAUCUUGGGAUCUCCAGCCCCUGCAGCUACAUGAAUUAGGAGAAGCCUGUGGCCUUGCCUGCUGAUCUUGGGAUUCAUCAACCUUCACAGCCUGGAGCAAGAGCCCUGCUCACCGACCUGCUGAUCUUGGGUUUGCCAGCCCCUGUGGCUACGUGAAUCAGGAGAAACAUCAAUCCUGAUCCGUGCACUUGGGAUGUUCCAGCCUCUACAAUUGUGUGAGCUGUUUCCUUGAUAUAAAUCUCUCUCUAUGUAUAUGUUUAUAUGCUUUACUGAUUUUGCUUCUCUAAAAAAAAUUUUUUUUUUUUUUUAGAGAACCCAGCCUAAGACAGAAUCCUUAGGAAUCCACUAAAAAACUAUUAGACCUAAUAAACAAGUUCAGCAGAAUUACAGGCUAUAACUCAAUGAUGAGAGCCCCGGUGAUGCAGUGGUUAAAGUGCUCGGCUGAUAACCGAAAGUUAGUGGUUUGAACCCAUCACCUGCUCCACAGGAGAAAGAUGUGGUAGUCUCCUGUAAAGAUUUACAGCUUUGGAACCCCUGUGGGGCAGUUCUACUCAUCCUAUAGGGUCACUCUGAGUUGGAAUCAACUCAAUGGCAAUGGGCUUUCUUUUAAGCUCAGUAUACAAAAAUAAACUACAUUUCUGCACACUAGCAAUGAACAAGCUGAAAUGAAAUUAGAAAAUAAUUCCAUUUACAAUAGUAUCAAAAAGUAUAACAAUCUGAAGAAAUUUAACAAAAGAAAUGUAAAACUAAUACUCUGAAAGUGAUAAAACAUUGUUGAAAGAAAUUAAAGAAGACCUAAAAAUGGAAGGGCAUCCUAUGUUCAUGGAUCAGAAAACUUAUUAUUCAGAUGACAGUACUUUCCAAAUUGAUCUACAGAUUCAGUAUAAUAUCUAUCCAAAUCCCAGCUGGCUCUCUUGCAGAAAUUGACAAGCCGAUCCUACAAUUCACAUGGAAAUGCAAGGGCCCAAGAAUAGCCAAAACAAUCCUAGAAAAGAACAAAGUUGAAGGACUCAAACUUUGAUAUCAAAACUUACUACAAAGCUACAGUAAUCAAGAUAGUAUCAUACUGCAUGAGGAUAGACAUAUAGAUCAGUAGAACAGAAUUAUAGUCCAGAAAUAAACUUCUGCAUUUAUGGCCAAUUGAUGUUCAACAAGGGUUCCGAGAAAAUUCAAUAGGCAAAGAAUAGUCUUUUCAACAAAUGAUGCUGAAACAACUGGCUAUCCACAUGCAAAAGAAUGAAAAACUUCCUUACAUCAUACACAAACAUUAACUCAAAAUGGGUUACAGGCAUAAAUAUAAGAGCUAAAACUAUAAACUCAUAGAAGAAAAUAAGAAUAAAUCUUCAUGACCUUGGGUUAGGCAAAACCUUCUUAGACACAACACCAAAAGCAUAAAUGACAAAAAAAAAAAAAAAAAACUGGGCUUCAAAGAACACCAUCAAAAAAUGGAUAGCCAACCCAGAGAAUGGGAGAAAAUAUUUGCAAAUCACAUAUCUGAUAAGGACUUGUAUCCAAAAUAUAUAAAGAACUCUUAAAACUCAACAAUAAAAAGACAGCUCCAACAGAUACAUGAGGAAAUGCUCAUGAUCAUUAGCCAUUAGAGAAAUGCAAAUCAAAACUACAAUGAGAUUUCAUCUCACUCCAACAGCUCCAACAAGGCUAGGAUUAAUCCAAAAAACACAAAAUAAUAAAUAUUGGAGAGGCUGUGGAGAGGUUGGAACACUUAUACACUGCUGGUGGGAAUGUAGAAUGGUACAACCACUUUGGAAAUCGAUUUGGCACUUCCUUAAGAAGCUGGAAAUGGAACUACCAUACGAUCCAGCAAUCCCACUCCUCGGAAUAUAUCCUAGAGAAAUAAGAACCUUUACAGGAACAGAUAUAUGCACACCCAUAUUUAUUGCGGCGCUGUUUAUAAUAGCAAAGAGGUGGAAGCAACCAAGGUGCCUAUCAAUGGAUGAAUGGAUAAAUAAUGGUAUAUUCACACAGUGGAAUACUACGCAUCGAUGAAUCUGUGAAACAUUUCAUAACGUGGAGGAAUCUGGAACGCGUCAUGCUGAGUGAAAUUAGUUGCAAAAGGACAAAUAUUGUGUAAGACCACUAUUAUAAGAACUUGAGAAAUAGUUUAAACUGAGAAGAAAACAUUCUUUUGUGGUUGUGAGAGGGGGGACGGAGGGUGGGUGGGAGAGGGGUAUUCACGAAUUAGGUAGUAUGUAAGAACUACUUUCGGUGAAGAGAAAGACAAUACACAAUACAGGGAAGUCAGCACAACUGGACUAAACCAAAAACAAAAAAGUUUCCUGAAUAAACUGAAUGCUUCGAAGGCCAGCAUAGCAGGGGCAGGGGUUUGGGGACCAUGGUUUCAGGGGACAUCUAAGUCAAUUGGCAUAGUAAAAUCUAUUAAGAAAACAUUCUGCAUCCCACUUUGAAGAGUGGGGUCUGAGGUCUUAAACACUAGCAAAUGGCCAUCUAAGAUGCAUCAAUGAGUCUGAACCCACCUGGAUCAAAGGAGAAUGAAGAACACCAAGAAUACAAGGUAAUUAUGAGCCCUAGAGACGGAAAACCGCAUAAACCAGAGACUACAUCAUCCUGAGACCAGAAGAACUAGAUGGUGCACGGCUACAACCGAUGACUGCCCUGACAGGGAACACAACAGAGAACCCCUGAGGGAGCAGGAGAGCAGUGGGAUGCAGACUCCAAAAUCUCAUAAAAAGACCAGACUUAAUGGUCUGACUGAGACUAGAAGGACCCCAGUGGUCAUGGCCCCCAGACCUUCUGUUGGCCCAGGAUGGGGACCAUUCCCGAAGCCAACUCCUCAGACAUGGAUUGGACUGGACAAUGGGUUGGAGAGGGAUGCUGAUGAGGAGUGAGCUUCUUGGAUCAGGUGGACACUUGAGACUAUGUUGGCAUCUCCUGCCUGGAGGGGAGAUGAGAAGGUAGAGAGGUUAGAAGCUGGUGAAAUGGACAUGAAAAGAGAGGGUAGAGGGAGGGAGCAGGCUGUGUCAUUAGGGGGAGAGUAAUUGGGAGUAUGUAGCAAGGUGUAUAUAAGUUUUUGUGUGAGAGACUCUCUUGAUUUGUAAACUUUCACUUAAAGCGCAAUAAAAAUUAUAAAAAAAAGACAGCUCCUGGGUCUUAAAUGCUAGCAAGCGGCCACAUAAGAUGCAACAGUUGGUCUCAAGCCACCUGGAGCAAAGGAGAAUGAGGAUUACCAAAGGUACAUGGUAAGUAUGAGCCUAAGAGUCAGAAUGGCCCACAUAAAUCAAAGACUACAUCAUCCUGAGACCAGAAGAAUUAGAUGGUGCCCAGCUACAACCGAAGACUGCCAUGAGAGGGAGCACAACAGAGAAUCUCUGAGGGAGCAGGAGAACAGUGGGAUGCAAACCCCGAAUUCUAUUAAAAAGACCAGACGUAAUGGUCUGACUGAGACCAGAGAGAUCUCGGAGGUCAUGAUCCCCAGACCUUCUCUUAGCCCAAGACAGGAACUAUUCCCGAAGCCAACUCUCCAGACGAGGAUUGGACUGGACUACAAGACAGAAAAUACUGGUGAGGAGUGGGCUUCUUAGAUCAAGUAGACACAUGAGACUAUCUGGGCAGCUCCUGUCUGGAGGGGAGAUACGAAGGCUGAAGGGGACAGAAGCUGGCUGAAUGGACAUGGAAACACAGGGUGGAGGGAAGGAAUGUGCUGUCUCAUUAGGGGGAGAGCAACUAGGAGUACAUAGCAAGGUGUAUAUAAGGUUUUGUAUGAAAGACUGACUUGAUGUGUAAACGUUCACUUAAAAUAAAAAGAAAAAAUAACACAAAAAUAAAUAAAAAGACAGCUCGACUGAAAAAUGGCAAAGGAUCUGAACAGACAUUCUCCAAGGAAGAAAUACGAACAAGAUAUACAAAUGGCCAAUAAGCACAUGAAAAGAUGCUCAACAUCAUCGGUGCUCAGGGAAAUGCAAAUCAAAACCACAGAGAGAAACCACUUCGUACCCACUAGGGUGGCUACAGUCAAAAAGACAGAUAAUAACAAAGUGUUGGCCAGGUUGUGAAGAAGUUGGAACCCUCAUAUGUUGCUGGUCGGAAUGUAAAAUGGUGCAGCUGCUUCGGAUAACUGUUGGGCAGUUUCUCAAAAUGUUAAACAUGGAGUUACCAUAUGAGCCAGCAGUUUGAGAAAUAAAAACAUACAUCCACACAAAAACUUGUACACAAAUGGUUGUAGCAGUGUUAUUCAUAGUAGCCAAAACAAGGAAACAACCCAAGUGUCCACCAACUGAUAAAUAAAUGUGGUAUGUCCAUAGAAUGGCACAUUAUUCGGUCAUAAAAAGGGAUGAAGUACUGAUACGUGCUACAACAUAGGUGAGCCCUGAAAACAUUAUGUUAAGUAAAAGAAGAUAGUUACAAAAAACCUUAUUGUGAUUCCAUUUAUAUGAAAUAUCCAAAAUAGGUAAGUCUAUAGAGACAGAGUAAAUUAGUGGUUGUCUAGAGUUGUAGACCUGAGUUCAGGGGAAAUGGGGAGUGACUGCUGAUGAGUACAGGGUUUCUUUAUAGGUUGAUGAAAAUGUUCUAAAAUUGAUUGUGGUGAUGGUUACACAACUCUGUGAAUAUAAUAAAAGCCAUUGAGUUGUACACUUUAAAUGGGUGAAUUGUAUGGUGUAUUGGUGUCCUAGGACUGCUGUAACAAAUUACCACAAACUGGGUGGCCUAAAACAACAAAAUUUAUUCUCUCACAGUUCUGGAGGCUAGAAGUCCAAAAUCAAGGUGUCAGCAGGGCCAUGUUGUCUCUGAAGGCUCUAGGGGAAAAUUUGUUCCAUGCCUUUCUUUUAGCACCUGGUGUUGCCAGCAAUCCUUGGUGUUCCUUGGCUUGUAGACCUAUCACUCCAGUCUGCCCCUGUUGUCACAUGGCAUUCUCCCUGUGUGUCUGUCUCUGUGUCUCUUCUUAUAAGGACAGCAGCCAUAUUGGAUUAGGGCCCACCUUAAUGACCUCAUUUUAACUUGAUUACAUCUGCAAAGACCCUAUUUUCAAAUAAAGUCACACAGAUACCAGGAAUGGUGUCUUUUGGGGAGACACAAUUCAACCCAUAACAUACAGUAUGUGAAUUAUAUCUCAAGGUGUUAAAAACAAAAAAAGAUAGCUUGAAAAAAAGGAAUGAGCUACUAAUACAUACAACAAUUUAGAUGAAUCUCAAAAACAUUAAGCUGAACAAAAGCCACAUACAAAAGAGUACAUGCUGAAUAAUUCCAUUUAUAUCGUCUGUUCUAGAACAGGCAGAACAAAAUCAUGGUGUAAAAAAAUCAGAACAGUGGUUGCCUGAGGAUGGUGAGGUUGACUCAGGAGGAACAUGGGCAGCUAGUGGGUGAUCACAUGUUCUAUAUCUUACUAGGGUUGUGGGUUAGUUAUACCAGGUGUAUGGAAACUGUACACUUAAGAUCUGUGCAUUUCACUGUAUCUAAAUCAUACCUCAGUUUCUUAAAAAUUAAAAAGAGAAAUUGAAGGGUUAAGAAAACAAAAAUGAUAGAGCUGGGAUCCAGUUUAGACCAUGUGGCUUCAAAACCUAAGCACUUUAAACAUUUUGGACCCUCUUUUGGGUUUUUAACAAGGAAUGUCAACAUUUGGUAUCAAUUUCCACUAUAUUUGUUCUUGAUUUAACAAAUAUUUGGAGGAGGCCCACCCUAUACAACUUAGUGCUAGGUUGGAGAUUUGAAAACCCAAAUCCUAAGGAGCCAGCAGGUGAUCUUGAUAUGAAGAAGCCAAAACGAGAUAAACGGGAGUAGUGGGAAAUGACAUCAGGAGGGUAUGUGCCUUGGUGUAUAUAACAAGCUCUGUAUCAUCCAUGCUUGUGUUUGCCCAGAGCACCUCUGGAGAGAUGUGCAAGAAACAGGGGGUAUAGAUUGCCUCUGGGGAGAGGAACUGAGUGGCUGGGAAUGAGGUGGAGACUCGUUUUUCUCUGCCACCUGUUUGUGCCCUUCAGUUUUGAAUCAUGUGCCUUCUAGAAAGUAAAUUUUUUUUAAAAAAUUGUGUGGAUCAAACAAAACCAAUCAGCAACUGCUGACCUUUGUGCCUGGCACUGGAGAGAAGUCAACGAGGAAAAAGGUACUGAUGUGCAGUGUAAGCCAGCAAUGAGACACAGAGUAAACUGCACAGGUACACCAUACACUCAGAAUUUGCUAAAUGAAUAAAUGAACUAGUUGGUAAGUAAAAUGCCUCACAUAUAUACAGUAGGCCUUCAGAAUAUUAACCUCCUUCCAACAUUCCCCAAGAUUCCAAGACAGUUGUUGUGAUCCAGGUGUGUACACGGAUGGAAAUGGAGAAGGAAGCACAAGAGAGAUUUCGAAGGUGGAACUGACAGCAUUUGGUCCGUUUGGCCAGUUGGCUGAUUUAGAAGGUGAAGGAGAAAUAAGACCAAAGUACUGCUGAGUGCUCUAAGCUGGGUGAGUGAGUGGCAGGCAGGAACAUUAGAGAGGCCCGGAGCAGUCAGGAGGGAGAAGGGGCCUGUGGGGGACAAGGGGAGAUAGGGUGGGUUUUUGUUUUGUUCAUAUGCCAUUUUGUUAGCUGAUGGCCGGACAUUCAGUUUCAUUCAAUAAACAUUUUGGAGCACUAAGUGGAAGUGUCCAGCCUGUAGUUGGAAAGUCAGGGUAGGGUCUGAGGGAGAUUUCAGGCCCAGAAGAAAGCACAGAUUUAGGAGUCAUUGGCCUUGAGAUGAUAGCUACAGGUGAUAGUUAAGUUCCCUGAAAAAAAAAAAAAAAACCAAACCCGUUGCUGAAAGUUGAUUCCUACUCACUAAGGGGAAAAAAAAUCAGAAACAAAAAAGAACAAAGGUGGGUGUCAGAGCCUCCUGCUCUUUCCUGUUUCUGGACGAGCCUGUCUGAAGAUCUGGGCAUUCAGGUGACACGAGGGGUGUGUGGAGCAGGACAGGACAAAGAACGGAGGGCUUGAGUCAGAGGACCUCCAUUCUUUGUGUGACCUUAUACAGCAGACUUUACUAUCUGGGACUCAGUUUCCUCACCUGUAAUCAGGGGCAAUAAUGCCAGCCCUCUCUCCCUUCCAAAAUCAUCGUGCUGACCAAAAGGGAGAGUGCAUAAGAAAAUGUUUUGUAAAUAAGCAGUAGAAGACUAAUCACAUGUAAAAAAUUAUUAUUGCAAUGGGAGAUGCAGGAGACCAAUAAAAUGGAUUUGGUUACAGUAAGCACAGGCGUUACUUUCUGUUUCUUUCGAGAGAGAGAGAGAGAGAGACCAGCAGCAGCAAGUACUGCCAGGUGCACAGUGUAGUUUUUCCAACUUUGAGAAGCAAAUAACAGAGGGGGCCAACUGGCUCAUCCCAGGAGGCCUGUCUUCACCAAAUGAAUCUGAAACGAUGGCCUGGGGAAUGGCUGCAGGCACAGGCCCAGGAGAGCAGGCCCUGUCCUGCGGGGGAGGGACCCAGGGAGUGCAGGGCCAGCAGAGGUUGUCCACAUGGCCAGGGCCCUGGUCCCUGGACCUCUGCAAUUUGGAGCUUCCUUCAGGCGAAGCCCAGCCAGAUGUGCUCCUCAGGGUCCCAGAUGGCCCAUGAAGGGCAUUGCCCAGCCCCCAGGCCAUGUGCAGAAGCAUCACCUCAGGGUUAGGCAGAGAAGUGACCAUGGUUUCACCAUAGAAUAGGCCAGGCUGGGUUUCUUCAGCUCCCCAGGUGGCCGGCCUUUUUAGUGCUGAGGGCCACGUUGGAUCUGCCAGAACUUCGGGACAGGGUCCAGUGCAGGAGGCUUAGGGAAACUGCUUCCAGUUCUUUUCAGGCCCAUAGACAUGUCCUCCCAAAUGCCUGGCUGGAUAUGAGCCCCUGCAGUCUGUGUGCCAGCCUGGGGACAGUCCUUUCAAAUAGUACCUUUAAGGUGGCCACACUCUUGCCAAAUCUUCCUGGCUAGGGCUAGAGAGGACCUUAGUGAGCAUCUCACCCAGCCCCUUCAUAUUCAGUUGAGGACCCUGGGCCCAGAAAGGGCAAGGACUUGCUCAAGGGGCAGAGCCAGGGAACUUUUCUGAGGAGGCUUGAUGGAACUGGGAGCAGAAGUCAGGUCUUUGGCCUCUCAGCAUCCAUCUCUCCAGAUCCUCCCUCUCUCCCCAUUACUGGUAUUUUCCAGUCUCUUCCCUUUGGCGAUGCUGCCCUCUCACCUCUCUCAGAGCUUCCUCACCAGCCCUGCAAGCUCAGAGGUGUCCACCCGAGACUAAGGUUCGGCUCCCCCAUCUCUGCUCGCUCUGUAGUGGCCAGCUCCAGGAGCCCAGAUACUGUCUCAGAAAAGUCUCCUGGCUAGCGGGGGUGGGGAGAAGCCUAGGUCAGGAGCUGCAGCCAGGUCCAGUUCUGCCACUAAUGGGUGUCAGAGGGCACGGAAAGAAUGCCACCUUUUGAAAAACGACUCUUCCAUUGAGACCCUGUAUUGGAUCUUCUCCCACCCACCUGUGUCCCCUCAGGGCAUUUGUUCUUUCCUUCAACAUUUAUUGUGCAUUCAGCAAAACCUUGGGGAGGGCUUAGACUCUGUGCCAUGCCCUGUGCAUAGUCCCAGAACAGAGAUACUACUGACUCACUCAACCUUACCCUCAGGUGCUCCCAGUCUGAUGGAGGAGACAUCAGAAUGGGCGUUUGCCACCAGUGUGAUCAGCACUAUAAUAGAGGGAAGAACAAGACACUCCGGAGGCUCAAAAGAUGCUGCUUCCCCUCACCCGCUGUCUUAAAAGAUGAGGAGACAUUUCCUAGGCAGACAAAGUAGGGAAAGGCAUCCCAGGAACCUUAUACUAAUAGAAGGUAAGAGAGAUGAUGGGCUGAGGGUAGAGUUCUGGACUGAAUGUGGCUUAGAUCACAGGGUAUGCACGGAUUAGCAGGAGAGAGGCUAGGACAAGGAGGCGGCAGAGGUCGCAUGUGAAGAAGGUUGAAGGCAGGCUAAUGUUUGGACUGGAUCCUGUUUAUGAUGGGGAAGCCAUUGAAAAGUUGUGAGCAGGAGAGAUGUGAUCAAGCGUGCAUUUUUGAAAACCCUUCUGGCGUACAGGGUAGAGGCCAGGGGACUAGAAUUGAGGAGUCUGGAUGUACCAAGUCCAAUCCUACCGUUUUCCUCAUGUCCUGGGCCAUCCGGAGAGGUGGUAGGGGCAGGUCCAGCAUGCCCACGUUCUUUGUGGAGUGCCAGGCCUGGUAUUUCUUUUCCUUACUAGUCCUUACACUUCCCAUCCAUGAACAGGAAGGAUGAAACACCAUCAUAUCUCAGGAGAUUUCUUCCCUAGGUGUACAUCACAAUCAACCACGUAACUUUCUAAAUGGCGAUCAGUUGGGCCCUGUCCCACACUUACUAAAUCAUCCAUUCAUUCCACAAAUAUUUAUCGAUGGGGAAGCCAUUGAAAAGUUGUGAGCGGGGGAGAGAUAUGAUCAAGUGUGCAGGUCCCUCUUCGGUACAAACAGUUUGCACUUGACUGCUAACCCAAAGGUUGGCAGUUUGAACCCACCCAGCAAUACCAUGGAAGGAAAGACCUGGCAGUCUGCUUCUGUUAUGAUUGUGGUGGUUGUUAGUUGCCAUCAAAUUGAUUCCAACUCAUGAUGCUCCCAAGUGCGCAGAGUAGAACUGUACUUCAUAGUAUUUUCAAGGCUAUGAUUUUUCGGCAGCAGAUGGCCAGGUCUUACUUCCAAGAUAUCUCUGGAUAGGUUUGACCUGCCAGUCUUUUGGUUUGUAGGUCAGAGCUUAAUCAUUUGUGCCACCCAGGGAAUAAAAUGACGGUGAAGAAAAGCCUAUGGGGCAGUUCUACUCUGUAACACAUGGGGUGUCCAUGAGUCGGAAUUGACUUGACAGCAACUAACAACUACUACUAUGUGCUGGACAGUGUAAUAGGCAUAUAGCCCCUGCCCUUGUGGAGCUUACAUUCAGAAUCUCUGGAGAGGAGCCCAGAUAUCUGUAUUUAGAAAAGCUCCAGCCUCACCCAGGAACUACUGCUUAAAAGAACUAGCUGAGGAUGCCAAAUGCAAAUGGGAGCAUAGGUGGGCACUGUGGGCUGGGCAACCCAAAGCUUAGCAAUAUCUACAUAGGUUUGACCCUGACAGAAGUCAGAUAGCUUCACAUGGAUUCACAAAGGCAUGGCUCCCCCAGAAGUAUGGGUGCCUCUGAGCAGCCUGCUGCUGGAGCCAUGCUUCAGACCCCUUAGGGCCUGACAGGGGCUCUCUCUCACCCACAGAGAGUCACACCAACAGGAAUGAUCAGAAAUAGCACCAAGGUUCUUGCCCUCCACAAGGAGGCUCCAGUGGAAACAGGCCUUGGGAAUAGUACCAAGGACCCACGUUGCCCAGAGAACCACAGAGUGGUCGAGGACCUGGCCUGAGGUCACACAGCAUGAUGGUCUCCAAACUGGAGUGUCUCCCCCUGCUGGUCCCAGCUGCUUCCUUCUCUAGCCCCGGCACCUUGCCCAAACCUGCUACCACACACUCCACUUUCCCACCCUGUCCUCCCCACCUCUCCAGCUCUAAGGCCAGGAACAUGAUUUCAGAAUGAUGAAACCCAGCUCCUGAGGUCACGCCGGCCUCUUUGCAGUGGCUCUGAUUUUUCACGGCCCCAUUCCCCCCAGUGGGUUGGGGAAGCUGCCAGGCCUUUCGCACAUAUCUGGGGGGAGGUGGAGGGAAUGUGAGAAUGAGGUAACCAGGAGAGCUCACUGGAAGCCAGGUCAAGGGGAAUGUUAUGUUACAGACCAUCUCCUGACCCAGCCUCUUAAUGCAACCCACCGCUAAUGUAAUGCCUUCAUCCCAUCAUCCCACUUAAUCCACACAGCAUCCCCUUUGCACUCAUGCUUUCUGAGUCAACACCACCAAACUGUCUGUACCUCUGUGCCACACACCAUGCUGAUACACAACUCUGGGAGUUUGCUUCUGCUGUUUCCUCUGCUUAUAGUGCUCUUUCCUCCUUCUCCACCCACCUUAUCUGCUUUGCCUGGCUUACUCCUACUCAUCCUUUAAGUCCCUGCUAUGGUAUCACUUUCCCCAGGAAGUCUUCCCUGACCAUGUCCCAACAUGUAGGGCUAUAUAUCCUCUGUGUGCACUCAUAAUAAUCUAUUUUUGAGUUCAUCACAUUGUAUCAUAACUACCUGCUUACAUGUUUGUCUCCCCAUCUAGAAUGGGAGCUUCUCAAAGGCAGAGAUGGGGUUGGGUUUAGGUCUGGCUCAUCUUAGUAUCCCAGGCCCCAGUACAGAGCUGAGCAUAGAAUUUUGGACACCCCUUCUUCCAACGUAGACAGGAAUCUCAGGAGGGAUUUUAGCCCUAAUUUUACAGAGAGAAAACUGAGGCCCAAGAGGAGUUACCUGACCUGUCCAAGGUCCAAAAGUGAGGUAGUAUCAGGACAGGGACUAGAAUCCUGCUCUCCUAGAGCAUAGGCUGGUUCUCUUGUGCUCCAGCCAGCCAAAGGGACCCGCUGAGCCAUAUUGGGGGUACUAGUUUCUAUUGCUGUUGCAACAAAUCACCACAACCUUAGUGGCCUAAAACAACAUAUGUAUUAUCUUACAGUCCUGGAGGUCAGAAGUCCAAAAUGAGGCUCAAUGGGCUGAAAAUCAAGGUGUUGGCUGGGCUGCCUUCCUUUCUGGAUGCUCAAGGAGAGAAUCUAUUCUUUUGCCUUCUUCAGCUUGUAAAGGCUACCCUCAUUCCUUGGCUCAUGGCCUCCUUCCAUCUUGAAAGCCAGCAAUGGCCAGUUGAGUCUGUCUCACAUCACAUCACUCUGACAUGCCCUCUUGUGCCUCCUCUUCAAUUUUUAAGGAUCCUUGUGAUUACACUGAAGGAGCCCUGGUGGUGCAGUGGUUAAAAAGCAUGACUGCUAACCAAAAGGUUGGCAGUUUGAAACCACCAGCAGCUCCACUGGAGAAAGAUGUGGCAAUCUGCUUCCGUGGAAAUUUAGAGCCUUGGAAACCGUACAGGGUCACUGUGAGUCAGAAUUGACUCAGUGGCAGUGGGUUUGAGUUUUUGGUAUGAUUGCAUUGGGUGUAUCAGAGUAAUUCAGGGUAAUCUCCCCAUAUCAAGGGCAGUUGAUCUGUAACCUUAAUCCACCUUUGCCAUGUGACCUAACAUAUUCACAAGUUCCAGGGAUUUGGAAGUGGCCGUCUUUGGGAGGGGGGCAUUAUUAUGUCAACCACACCGGUGGGCAAGGAGGUAAUGGAUCUGUUGAGAGGGUAGAGUGAACAGACUUCCCAAUGUGCCCAGAACUGUCCUGGUUUCAGCCUGUCAUCCAGGGGUAAUUACUGAUAGUACCACCUUUCAUUUUCAAAAAUAUUCUAGUUUGAAGAAUAAAUUAUAUGGUUACCCAAGUCACAGACUAUUAGAGUAGGAGGACCAAGCCCUCAUUCUGCAGAUGAGAAAACUGAGACAAAGAAAGGAAAAGGAGCUUACUCAAUGUCACACAGUUAGUGUUAGAGCUGAGACUAGGACCCAGGUCUUUUGCCAGAAGGCCAGGUUGGUUCCCAAUUCAGACCGAAAUAUUUCUUUCGUCAAGAAGGCUUCCUAGAGAAAGUGGGAGGCACAGUCAUCAGUGAUAAAGAAGAUGGUGAUGCUGAUGACCAUUUAUUAAGUACUUCCUAUGUUGCCAGGCACUGGUAACUAAUGCUGAAUGCUUUGUAUGUAUUAUCUCAUUUGGUCCUCACAAAAAUCGUGGAUCAUCCCCCUUCACAAAUGGGGAAACAGAGAUUUAGAGUGGUUCAAACACCAGUAGGUGUUGAAGCUGGGUUUCAAAUCUCGCUCUUUCUUAUUAUAAAGCUAAUGUUUUUCCUCUGUCCUUAGGGGGUUGCUGGGCUUGGGGAACUGAGAGAACUGGAAACCCUUACUUUGGAGAAACAGGUGCAGCAGCGUUACAGUAGAGAUGGAGAAUGAUGGAGGGGUUGGUGAUUUACUGAGCCUGUGAAUAGGUAUGAGGGUGAGAUGGCUCAGCUAUUCGCAUUUCAUUUCCACUGAUGACUAAAAUUAUGGUCAUAGCAGGAGGAGUUUAUCUAUUUAUUCUAAAAGGUUUACUUAUUUUUUUCAUAUCUACUCAAUGUAAAAUAUUUGGAAAAUACCAAAAGUGAAAAGAAGAUAAUAACAUUAAUGAUAAUUCCAUACACCCGAAGAACCACUGUUAACAUUUUGGCAAAUUCCUUUACAGGGAUUUUUAAAACAUAAAAUAUUUCAACAUAUGAAAAAGCAUAUGAUGAACACCCAUGUCCCCACCAUCCAGCUUAAGAAAUAAAAUGUUAUGUAUAUAAUUGAAAUCCCUCCUAAGUGUUUCCCAAAGUAUUCCCCUCCCUGCUUGACAAGAAGCCCUUCCAGGCUUUUUUUUUCUAUACAUAUUUCUUUUGAUUAGUUGAUGUGGCUGUGAUUUUACAAUUUUGUACCAGGGAGGAGGCUUCAGGAGAGACACCGGGGGAACUUCCUAGUCAGAAAGUUUGUGAGACGCUAAGGUCUAUGACCAAAGAAUGCAGGCAAAGGAAGCCAACUUUAGGGAAUUGUUUGAGUGAAGCCCAAUGAGGAGCCACAGAGGGGUGGAUUGAACCAGAUGACCUUUAAGGUCCCCAACCCUCCCACACAUACUAGUUCCAAAAUUUUUCUUAUGAAAAAAGAAAGCUGCUUUGGAUUGGCCUUCCCACACGUGGCCCAGCAGUGUCACUCCAUCUGCUGGUUCCUGUCCAAGGUGUGCAGCUGUGAACCUGAUUUGUGCAGGCUGCUCCCUGUCCCUCUCCCUGCUGUCUGACCUCCAUGCUCUUCAACCUUCUUGUCUCUCUUCAUCUCUCCCUUUCUUUCUCAGCCUCACUGCCUUGUCUCAUCAGUCCCUUCCCUUGUUAUCUCCAUCUCCUUUCUCUGCUGGUACCUCUUCUCAUCUAUGUCUCUGCUCUUCCUCUAGGUUUUGCUCAGCCAGGCCAAGAAGCUUCCCCCAGGUGCCCCCAGAGGCUCUGCUUCCCAAGAGUUAUAAAGCUCUUCCUAUCUUCCCUACCAGGAGUCCUGGGUGAUGCAAACAGUUAAGUGCUCAACUACAAUCCAAAAGAUUGGCUUUCAGACGCACCCAGAGUUGACUCAGAAUAAAGGCCUGGUGAUCUACUUCCAAAAAAUAAGCCAUUGAAAACCCUAUGGAGAACAUAUUUAGUGCUUCUGGUCUACCUCCUAGUUCAUUGCAUAGUGCCUGGUAUCUUAAAAGCUUGCGAGUGGUCAUCCAAGGUACAACAGUUGGUUUCUAUUUGCCUGGAGCAACAGAAGAAGAAGGAGAGUCAGGAAUAGGAGGAGGAUAUGGAAUGUGUGGCUAAUUGCCUCCAUGAACAUGAGACCAGAAGAACUAGAUGGUACCUGGCUACCAUUACUGAACAUUUUGAUAAAAGAUUCUAUAGAAGAAUCUGGAUCAAAAGGGGGGAAAUGGAGAACAGAAUUUCAGAUUCUCAUGGACUCUGGACUUUCUGGAGCCAAGGGGGCUAGAUGAAUCCCUGAAACUAUUGUCCUGAAAUAAUCUUUAAAGCUUAAACCAAUUGGACCUAAGCAAAAGCAUAGAAGUUUUCUAGGCACAUCCAAACACUUUGAGGGACCGAGUAUCUGGGGCUGGGCCCUGGGGACCAUAGUCUCGGGGGACAUCUAGGUCAAUUGGCAUAACAUAGUUCACAAAGAAAAUGUUCUACAUUCCUACUUUGGUGAGUAGCGUCUGGGGCCUUAAAAGCUUGUGAGUGGCCAUCUAAGAUACAUCUAUUGGUCCCAUCCCGUCUAGAGCAAAAGAGAAUGAAGAAAACCAAAGACACAAGGUAAACAUUAGUCCAGAAGACUAAUGGACUGCAUGUAGCACAGCCUCCAUCAGCCUGAGCCCAGAAGAACUAGAUGGUGCUCUGCUGCAACCACCAACAGCUCUGAUAGGGAUCAUAAUAGAGGAUCCCGGACAGAGCAGGAGAAAAAUGUAGAGCAAAAUUCAAAUUCAUAAAAAGACCAGACUUGCUGGCCUGACAGAGACUGGAAGGACCCCCAAGAUUAUGGCCCCCAGACACCCUACUAACUGAGGACUGAAACCACUGCUGGAGCCUACCAUUGUUCAGCCAAAGAUUAGACAGGCCU
This is an RNA transcript of Loxodonta africana (African savanna elephant), 16907 nucleotides long. It is a transcript of the gene named DNA polymerase delta 3, accessory subunit, with no coding region annotated. NCBI's taxonomy places the organism in Eukaryota, Metazoa, Chordata, Mammalia, Proboscidea, Elephantidae. The transcript has 14 exons. The record is from RefSeq and is a predicted model, not a curated record.